UACGGAGGGUGCAAGCGUUAUCCGGAUUCACUGGGCUUAAAGGGUGCGUAGGCGGGCAGGUAAGUCCGUGGUGAAAUCUCUGAGCUUAACUCAGAAACUGCCAUGGAUACUAUUUGUCUUGAAUAUUGUGGAGGUAAGCGGAAUAUGUCAUGUAGCGGUGAAAUGCUUAGAUAUGACAUAGAACACCCAUUGCGAAGGCAGCUUACUACACAAUGAUUGACGCUGAGGCACGAAAGCGUGGGGAUCAAACAGG
RNAcentral lists this ribosomal RNA (253 nucleotides) under uncultured bacterium. Its description in RNAcentral is "partial 16S ribosomal RNA". It matches the Rfam family "Bacterial small subunit ribosomal RNA", at positions 524 to 776 of the family's 1533-position model. The record is from RNAcentral.